AGAGCGAACGCUGGCGGCAGGCCUAACACAUGCAAGUCGAACGGACCCUUCGGGGUUAGUGGCGGACGGGUGAGUAACACGUGGGAACGUGCCUUUUGGUUCGGAAUAGCUCCUGGAAACGGGUGGUAAUGCCGAAUGUGCCCUUCGGGGGAAAGAUUUAUCGCCAUUAGAGCGGCCCGCGUCUGAUUAGCUAGUUGGUAAGGUAAUGGCUUACCAAGGCGACGAUCAGUAGCUGGUCUGAGAGGAUGACCAGCCACAUUGGGACUGAGACACGGCCCAAACUCCUACGGGAGGCAGCAGUGGGGAAUCUUGCGCAAUGGGCGAAAGCCUGACGCAGCCAUGCCGCGUGAAUGAUGAAGGUCUUAGGAUUGUAAAAUUCUUUCGACCGGGACGAUAAUGACGGUACCCGGAGAAGAAGCCCGCUAACUCGUGCCAGCAGCCGC
Molecule: ribosomal RNA, 443 nt
Filed under: uncultured soil bacterium
Lineage: Bacteria
Description: bacterial SSU rRNA
Rfam family: Bacterial small subunit ribosomal RNA
Source: RNAcentral